This is a non-coding RNA of Stereum hirsutum FP-91666 SS1, 95 nucleotides long. The record is from the annotation of a RefSeq genome assembly. NCBI's taxonomy places the organism in Eukaryota, Fungi, Basidiomycota, Agaricomycetes, Russulales, Stereaceae.
UCCCGCUUAGCUCAGCGGUAGUAGCGCUUCACUAGUAUCAUGGACUGUCAAGUCCGGCUAUGAAGAGGUCAGUCGUUCAAAUCGGCUAGUGGGAA